Molecule: ribosomal RNA, 409 nt
Filed under: uncultured bacterium
Lineage: Bacteria
Also listed under: 1 other name
Description: bacterial SSU rRNA
Rfam family: Bacterial small subunit ribosomal RNA
Source: RNAcentral
UGGGGAAUAUUGCACAAUGGGCGCAAGCCUGAUGCAGCGACGCCGCGUGGGGGAUGACGGCCUUCGGGUUGUAAACCUCUUUCAGCAGGGACGAAGCGCAAGUGACGGUACCUGCAGAAGAAGCACCGGCCAACUACGUGCCAGCAGCCGCGGUAAUACGUAGGGUGCGAGCGUUGUCCGGAAUUACUGGGCGUAAAGAGCUCGUAGGUGGUUUGUCGCGUUGUUCGUGAAAACCGGGGGCUUAACCCUCGGCGUGCGGGCGAUACGGGCAGACUAGAGUACUGCAGGGGAGACUGGAAUUCCUGGUGUAGCGGUGGAAUGCGCAGAUAUCAGGAGGAACACCGGUGGCGAAGGCGGGUCUCUGGGCAGUAACUGACGCUGAGGAGCGAAAGCGUGGGGAGCGAACAGG